This 121-nucleotide small nucleolar RNA is filed under the name Drosophila mojavensis. RNAcentral's name for it is "snoRNA:GI25355". The record is from RNAcentral. Lineage: Eukaryota; Metazoa; Arthropoda; Insecta; Diptera; Drosophilidae.
UGCACAUAAUUAGGUGUCCAUUUCCAAUACGAAAUUGAUGCUCAGUAACUGUGCGCAUAUUAAUGAAAGUGUGCUUAAAUGGAUUUGUUUUAAUACAAACUCAAACGGUACAAUUGCAACA